RNAcentral lists this ribosomal RNA (693 nucleotides) under Triticum aestivum (bread wheat). RNAcentral describes it as "partial small subunit ribosomal RNA". The record is from RNAcentral. Lineage: Eukaryota; Viridiplantae; Streptophyta; Magnoliopsida; Poales; Poaceae.
AUGCAAAAGCAGAGCUCCUGCUAUUCCCGUCAAAAAAAAAAGCAACAUCCCGAGGCCGACAUCACCAAAGGAAAGAUGGUUAUCUCAUACGAUCACUCCCGAUCCAAUGGCAAACGUGAAGUGACCGUGGCUUCCUGUACCAGGCCGCCCGAGCAGUGGAGCAAGCCACCAGAGGGCUGGGUAAAGCUGAACGUCGAUGGAGCAUGGCGGGAAGCUGAUGGAACCGGUGGCGCGGGGAUGAUACUCCGAGAUCACGUGGGAGCAGUCAUUUUCGCGUCUUGCAGGUUCCUCCCGAGAUGUGCAAGUCCUCUUGAGGCUGAACUAUCAGCGUGCAUGGAGGGAGUUACCCUGGCUCUCGAGUGGAGCAUGGCGCCUCUCGUCCUGGAGAUGGACUGUGCUGCUGCAGUAAGCAUGAUUAAGGAAACAUCAUUGGACAGAUCCCCCAAUGCGUCUCUUGUUGGAGAGAUUAAGAGGAAGCUAGCUGUAGGGAGGGAGCAUGCGAUCAGGUUGAUUCCUAGAGAGCAAAACGGUACCAGUCAUGCCCUUUCGCAAAUGGGAUGCUCGAUUCCACGUACGGCCGUCUGGCUGCGUUCGGCACCUGACGAGAUCGUUGGUUUAUAUUGGGCACAUUGUUGCGAGGCAUUCAGUGGAGCGGAACCUUUACAGGAGGAGCUGGUUUCCGUCCUGCCUUAG